GAGCUAAUGUGAGUGGUGCUGGUCCUUGUUAUAAUCCGUUGGUAACGGCUGCAGAAGGGCUUAACUGAAGCUAUCAAGUGCUUGUUGGAAGCUGGUGCAAAUCCAAAUGUUCUUGACAAGGGAUGGGCGUAUGGAUUGAAUGGUACUGUCCUGAACUGAAACGAAGAACUUCAAUGGAAAUGUAAUACUCCAAUCAAGCAAUGUGACAUUAGUCAUUGUGUGCAGGUUUUCCCAACAAGUUUGUUGUAAUGCCUUAUUUAAGGUGAG
Triticum dicoccoides is the source of this 267-nucleotide long non-coding RNA. RefSeq lists it as uncharacterized. The record is from RefSeq and is a predicted model, not a curated record. The transcript is spliced from 4 exons. Lineage: Eukaryota; Viridiplantae; Streptophyta; Magnoliopsida; Poales; Poaceae.